AUGCACAGCAAGGCCAAAGAGAUAUUCUUAUUUAGAAUGGUAGUGUGAACCGCACUGUAAAAGGACACUGAGAGUGUGUGUGGCGUGUGCAUUGCCUGACAGGAUGUAGCAGAAGAUCGGAUGGAAUCUGCUUGAAAAAUGGUCACGGAUUGUUUAUUCAGAAACAAAACAAAACAAAAUAUCCUAGGACACACAGCCAGAAGAGACAUUUGAAAUCCUCUAGAUCAGAGGUGUUAAACAUUGAGCUGCAGCCUACAUGUAUCCUACAAGGUUUCUGAGAUAUCUUCAAACUGGAGUCUCUACCUAGAACUCUCAAGAACAAUUUUUCUGGCUGAUCUCUAACAAGUUAAGUGACUACUUCAAGGUCAAAACCAGCAUUUCUGAAGGGGAACUUGAUUCCAGGUCUUCUUGACUUCAAGGCCAGCUUUCCAUCCACCACCUGUUACUAUCUCUAUGUAAAACUUAAUAAACUGAAUAGUUUAUAAGCA
RNAcentral lists this long non-coding RNA (488 nucleotides) under Monodelphis domestica (gray short-tailed opossum). Its description in RNAcentral is "lncRNA (ENSMODG00000035997.2)". The record is from RNAcentral. Lineage: Eukaryota; Metazoa; Chordata; Mammalia; Didelphimorphia; Didelphidae.